This 700-nucleotide ribosomal RNA is filed under the name Microbacterium ginsengiterrae. RNAcentral describes it as "bacterial SSU rRNA". It matches the Rfam family "Bacterial small subunit ribosomal RNA", at positions 278 to 988 of the family's 1533-position model. Lineage: Bacteria; Bacillati; Actinomycetota; Actinomycetes; Micrococcales; Microbacteriaceae. The record is from RNAcentral.
GACGGGUAGCCGGCCUGAGAGGGUGACCGGCCACACUGGGACUGAGACACGGCCCAGACUCCUACGGGAGGCAGCAGUGGGGAAUAUUGCACAAUGGGCGAAAGCCUGAUGCAGCAACGCCGCGUGAGGGAUGACGGCCUUCGGGUUGUAAACCUCUUUUAGCAGGGAAGAAGCGAAAGUGACGGUACCUGCAGAAAAAGCGCCGGCUAACUACGUGCCAGCAGCCGCGGUAAUACGUAGGGCGCAAGCGUUAUCCGGAAUUAUUGGGCGUAAAGAGCUCGUAGGCGGUUUGUCGCGUCUGCUGUGAAAUCCCGAGGCUCAACCUCGGGCCUGCAGUGGGUACGGGCAGACUAGAGUGCGGUAGGGGAGAUUGGAAUUCCUGGUGUAGCGGUGGAAUGCGCAGAUAUCAGGAGGAACACCGAUGGCGAAGGCAGAUCUCUGGGCCGUAACUGACGCUGAGGAGCGAAAGGGUGGGGAGCAAACAGGCUUAGAUACCCUGGUAGUCCACCCCGUAAACGUUGGGAACUAGUUGUGGGGUCCAUUCCACGGAUUCCGUGACGCAGCUAACGCAUUAAGUUCCCCGCCUGGGGAGUACGGCCGCAAGGCUAAAACUCAAAGGAAUUGACGGGGACCCGCACAAGCGGCGGAGCAUGCGGAUUAAUUCGAUGCAACGCGAAGAACCUUACCAAGGCUUGACAUA